UGAAAUUUUUGAUGAGAUAUUUGUGCUUAAAUGAUUGAUUUAAAGUGAAUUUGUGACAAUUGGAUUUAUUGGGUUUGGGAAUUAAAGAUGCUUAAAAUGUGAUUUUUAGUUGCAUAAAUUAUUUUGGAUGUUCUAAUGUUUAUUUGUGCAGCUGAAGUUAAAAUUUUAUUCAUUUAAAACAUGAAAUUGAAUGGUCAAAGAUGGUCCAAUCUGGUCAACUCAGGACUCUUAUGCAAUUUUGAAAAGAAAGNGAUGGCUAAACUACAAUUAGAGGAAAAUUUU
This 282-nucleotide long non-coding RNA is filed under the name Vigna radiata. RNAcentral describes it as "long non-coding RNA (VRAD_LNC014875)". The record is from RNAcentral. Lineage: Eukaryota; Viridiplantae; Streptophyta; Magnoliopsida; Fabales; Fabaceae.